UACGAAGGGGGCUAGCGUUGCUCGGAAUUACUGGGCGUAAAGGGCGCGUAGGCGGAUAGUUCAGUUGGGGGUGAAAGCCCGGGGCUCAACCUCGGAACUGCCUUCAAUACUGGCUAUCUUGAGUACGGGAGAGGUGUGUGGAACUCCGAGUGUAGAGGUGAAAUUCGUAGAUAUUCGGAAGAACACCAGUGGCGAAGGCGACACACUGGCCCGGUACUGACGCUGAGGUGCGAAAGCGUGGGGAGCAAACAGG
RNAcentral lists this ribosomal RNA (253 nucleotides) under uncultured bacterium. Its description in RNAcentral is "partial 16S ribosomal RNA". It matches the Rfam family "Bacterial small subunit ribosomal RNA", at positions 524 to 776 of the family's 1533-position model. The record is from RNAcentral.